This 498-nucleotide ribosomal RNA is filed under the name uncultured bacterium. RNAcentral's name for it is "partial 16S ribosomal RNA". It matches the Rfam family "Bacterial small subunit ribosomal RNA", at positions 28 to 523 of the family's 1533-position model. The record is from RNAcentral.
GAUGAACGCUAGCGGCAGGCCUAAUACAUGCAAGUCGGACGGGAUCGGGGAGCUUGCUCCCCGUGAGAGUGGCGCACGGGUGCGUAACACGUAUGUAACCUACCUUUAUCAGGGGGAUAGCCUCUCGAAAGAGAGAUUAACACCGCAUAACAUCACAUGAUAGCGUUAUCGAGUGAUCAAAUAUUCAUAGGAUAAAGAUGGGCAUGCGGGACAUUAGCUAGUUGGCGGGGUAACGGCCCACCAAGGCGACGAUGUCUAGGGGAUCUGAGAGGAUGACCCCCCACACUGGUACUGAGACACGGGCCAGACUCCUACGGGAGGCAGCAGUAAGGAAUAUUGGUCAAUGGACGCAAGUCUGAACCAGCCAUGCCGCGUGCAGGAGGACGGCCCUACGGGUUGUAAACUGCUUUUGUACCGGAAUAAACCCUUUUACGUGUAAGAGGCUGAAUGUACGGUAAGAAUAAGGAUCGGCUAACUCCGUGCCAGCAGCCGCGGUAA